GCCCCGAUAGCUCAUCUGGAUAGAGCGUAGGCUUCCUAAGCUUAAGGCGACAGGUUCGAGUCCUGUUCGGGGCACCA
Molecule: transfer RNA, 77 nt
Filed under: Campylobacterota bacterium
Lineage: Bacteria; Pseudomonadati; Campylobacterota
Description: tRNA-Arg
Rfam family: tRNA
About the family: Transfer RNA (tRNA) molecules are approximately 80 nucleotides in length. Their secondary structure includes four short double-helical elements and three loops (D, anti-codon, and T loops).
Source: RNAcentral